Molecule: ribosomal RNA, 503 nt
Filed under: uncultured bacterium
Lineage: Bacteria
Description: bacterial SSU rRNA
Rfam family: Bacterial small subunit ribosomal RNA
Source: RNAcentral
CUGGCUCAGGAUGAACGCUGGCGGCGUGCCUAAUACAUGCAAGUCGAACGAGGUAGCAAUACCGAGUGGCGAACGGGUGAGUAACACGUAGGUAACCUGCCCUUAAGCUUGGGAUACCCAGAGGAAACUUGGCUAAUACCGGAUAACAACAGAGAAGGCAUCUUCUUUGCUUGAAAGGCCCCUUCAAGGGUCACUUAAGGAUGGACCUGCGGCGCAUUAGCUAGUUGGUGAGAUAACAGCCCACCAAGGCGAGGAUGCGUAGCCGAACUGAGAGGUUGAUCGGCCACAUUGGAACUGAGACACGGUCCAAACUCCUACGGGAGGCAGCAGUAAGGAGUUUUCGGCAAUGGGGGAAACCCUGACCGAGCAACGCCGCGUGAGCGAUGACGGUCCUUUGGAAUUGUAAAGCUCUGUUGUAAGCCAUGAAUGACAGCUUGAGGAAAUGCAAGUUGUUUGACGACAGCUUACCAGAAAGCCACGGCUAACUACGUGCCAGCAGCGGC